AUUGAACGCUGGCGGCAGGCUUAACACAUGCAAGUCGCACGAGUGGCGGACGGGUGAGUAAUGCUUGGGACUCUAGCUUAUGGAGGGGGAUAACUACGGGAACCUGUAGCUAAUACCGCGUACCAUAGGAGGAGCCCCAGUGGGAUUAGGUAGUUGGUGAGGUAAAGGCCCACCAAGCAGACGAUCUCUAGCUGGUCUGAGAGGAUGACCAGCCACCCGGGUACUGGGACACGGCCCAGACUCCUACGGGAGGAAGCAGUGGGGAAUAUUGCGCAAUGGGGGCAACCUGACGCAGCCAUGCCGCGUGAAUGAAGAAGGCCUUCGGGUUGUAAAGGUCGUUCGGUAGCGAGGCGUUAACUACAGAAGAAGCACCGGCUAACUCCGUGCCAGCAGCCGCGGUAAUUC
This 405-nucleotide ribosomal RNA is filed under the name uncultured bacterium. Its description in RNAcentral is "partial 16S ribosomal RNA". It matches the Rfam family "Bacterial small subunit ribosomal RNA", at positions 30 to 526 of the family's 1533-position model. The record is from RNAcentral.